GUCAACGACCAUAUGCUGAACAUACCGGUUCUCGUCCAAUCUCCGAAGUCAAGCAGCAUAGGGUCUGGUCAGUACUAAGAUGGGAGGAACUUCGGGAACACUGGGUGUUGUAGGCU
RNAcentral lists this ribosomal RNA (116 nucleotides) under Strongylocentrotus purpuratus (purple sea urchin). Lineage: Eukaryota; Metazoa; Echinodermata; Echinoidea; Camarodonta; Strongylocentrotidae. The record is from RNAcentral.